Bombus huntii is the source of this 497-nucleotide long non-coding RNA. RefSeq lists it as uncharacterized. The record is from RefSeq and is a predicted model, not a curated record. Lineage: Eukaryota; Metazoa; Arthropoda; Insecta; Hymenoptera; Apidae. The transcript has 3 exons.
AUCCUGUCCACGCGACAGCCAGAAAUCUUAUCAGAGACAUCGUCUAUCUCGUCGAGUAAUCGUGUUUGACUGAUUCACAGGGUGAAAGGUAUUUUUGUGCUUGGAUGCUUUUAUGAGAAAAAAAGUUUGGAAGAUAUAAAGCAUUGAAUACAGUGGCGUGAUAUGUUUUUGAAGUAUGUAAAGAAAUUGAUAAUCUGUGAGUGACGGUGGUCAGUUGAAGUCUCAAGUAAUACAGGUAGGGAAGACAGUAAUUUUUCGACGUUAAUUAUCGACGAAGGAAAAAUGAAUUAUUUAAAAAAAUUGGAAGACUUAUCGAAGACGGGAAUAGAAACUGUGCAGUGAUCGUUUGGUUUAAAGCAUGAAAAUGGAUGCUUCACUGGCAAUAUCCGUUCUCAAUAAUUCGAGCCUUUAUCCGCGAAGAAAUUGAAUGUUAAUUUAUUAAGGAGAAGGAAGAGGAAAGGAAAAUUAUCUUUCUUCUGGCAAAUUCCUAUUGAUCG